Molecule: unclassified non-coding RNA, 240 nt
Filed under: fungal sp.
Lineage: Eukaryota; Fungi
Description: partial internal transcribed spacer region
Rfam family: Eukaryotic small subunit ribosomal RNA (bases 1-46)
Source: RNAcentral
AAGUCGUAACAAGGUUUCCGUAGGUGAACCUGCGGAAGGAUCAUUAACACGUAUCCACGUUUAAAUCCCCCGUGCACGUUGAUAAAGCUCCGUCGGGAGUCUAGUUUCCAAUGAAAUGUUGGGGACCUGGAGGGAGUUGGCAAAAUCGUGGAGCCGAGUCGCCUUCGGGCUUGAUUUGGCACGCAACCGGACGAUUUCUUGAAACCCGAACAACUGUUAACAAUGGAUAUCUUGGUUCUC